ACGAAGUAUUAUAGGUUAGGUUCAGAAAAAAAGUACAAUCACAAGCCACAGACUAUUUGUUGUACUUUGUGACCUAAUCUCUUCUUCUUGCUUUUCUCUCCUCUCUCAAAAAUAUAAACAAAUUAAUAGAUCUAGAUUGUUAAUCGAUCUCAUGUUUGUCUUCGAUCUAAAAUCAAGAAGAACACACGAAUUUUGGAAUCAACAAUUUUGAAACAUGUACACCGAUCCUAUUCAGAGGCUUUUGUGUGCUCUGAUGUUUCAACCAACUUUUUGUCAAAUUCUCCCUGGCACACAUUGCAUUUCCAUGUACUUUUAGACUCUUUGUUGCAUCUGUUUUUGUAUUUUAUGGGAUCAUUGUUCUUUCCCUUGUUGUUUCCUCCUCUUUUAGGUUUAGUCAUCUACAAAACAGGGUUAUUUCAUCCAUAAAAUCAAUAUUAAGCAAACUUGAUUUGAUUAAACCGGUUUGGA
Long non-coding RNA from Solanum tuberosum (potato), 468 nucleotides. RefSeq lists it as uncharacterized. The record is from RefSeq and is a predicted model, not a curated record. Lineage: Eukaryota; Viridiplantae; Streptophyta; Magnoliopsida; Solanales; Solanaceae. The transcript is spliced from 3 exons.